Zingiber officinale is the source of this 497-nucleotide long non-coding RNA. RefSeq lists it as uncharacterized. NCBI's taxonomy places the organism in Eukaryota, Viridiplantae, Streptophyta, Magnoliopsida, Zingiberales, Zingiberaceae. The transcript is spliced from 3 exons. The record is from RefSeq and is a predicted model, not a curated record.
AGUGCUUGUGGUCUUGUUUAUAGCACAUAUGUAGUGAGAGCUUUAUUACCUGGGUUUUCUAAACAUGACAUGAAGCUUUUGUUCCUGACUAUCAGAAAUAAAGUUGAGCAAGCUACUUAUGUCUUGCCCACAUAUGUUGCAAGACAAUUAAUGAAUAAUUGAAUGUCUUGACUUUAUUAUUUCAAUAAUUUUUUCUUAAAAUUCUUAGUGGAGUUGUUAUUAGCAUGUUGCAAAUUAUUUAUUAAUAAAAAAACUUUCAAUAUGAAUAAAAAGAACCUGCACUUGAUUCCCUCAUAGAUGUUGAGCAUUCCAGAGAGAGUUUUGGUCUUAUCAAGAACAUGAAUGUUGCUCCUGAAACAAAAAAAAAAGAGAGAGAUUAAAACCAACAUCUCACUUUGGUUUUCUUUUGACAUAAAUUAAAGCAACAGCUCUUCCAAGUCUUCUUUUCUUGGUCAGAGUACACACUCUUCAAUGUAAUCUCAAUAUGAUGAAAUCAG